RNAcentral lists this unclassified non-coding RNA (1374 nucleotides) under Hevea brasiliensis (rubber tree). Lineage: Eukaryota; Viridiplantae; Streptophyta; Magnoliopsida; Malpighiales; Euphorbiaceae. The record is from RNAcentral.
AGUGGCCAAAAUCUUUCACCUUCACCCAAAAUUUUCUCUUGUUUGAUUCUUUAAUUUUUCCCGCGUUUCUUCCUCCUCUCUACUGCAGUUUCCAGCUUCAAAUGAUUAUUCGCUUUAUCUUCUUCUUCUUCCUUCUGUUCUCUUUGUAUUUCCCUAUCAGGUCUUCAAGCAAUGGAAGUACGGAAGAGGAGAAAACAUUAGCUAUGAUAAAGCCUGAUGGAGUGUUAGGUAAUUACACUGAAAGGAUAAAAAUGGUUAUUGUGGAGUCUGGUUUCAGCAUCAUUAGGGAAACUAUCACUCAACUUGAUGAGCACCGUGCUUCAAACUUUUAUGUUGAGCACUCUUCAAAAAGUUUCUUUUCAGGUCUUAUCAAAUACAUGACGAGGUAUCUUCAUUUCUAAGUUAUUCUUUUGUAAUAAUCAAUUGAAGUUGAACUUAUACCGUAGGCCUUUAUCUUAAUUACAAUUGUUGCUCACUCUUUGUUAGUUCCUAAUUAAUUAUACAUUGUUGCUUUUUUAACAACUGGAGCAGAAAAUAAUGCAAGCAAUUUUUAGGUCUGAUUUUUUACCUUUUUCACCAACUCAUUCUUUUUGCAGUUUAUGAACCAAAUUUGUAAUGCUUAGCAAAAAAGCAGAAACAUGUACUCAUUUUCUUUUAUAUUGGUUCACUGGUAUGAUUUCAAAUUCACCUGAACCAUGAGGAACUGGAUUUCCUAUUAUAAUUAAAAGUCUUUUUGAAUUCUUAAUUUGUUGCCUAGUUUCAGUCUUCCUGUCUCUCCUCUCCUUUCCCUGCAGUUAUCACUGAGGAGAAGCCUAUAUUGGAAGUCUUACAUGAAAAUAGUUAGCAUUCAUCCAUUGUAGUUAGGCUUGUAUGACAAUGAAUUCUGUGUGCUCACGUAGAAUAGUUAUAUGAGAUUGCAGUGAUGGAUCCUUGCCUGGAUCACUAUGCAGCUCUUAUUAUAUUAAGGUUUGGCUCUCAUGAUUCUCUGUGUUGGUUACUCAUUUGGCAUCUGUAACAUCAUUCUGUUGUUUAUGAUAUAAAAGUGAAAAAAAUGCUUUCACUGUUUUGCUCUAUUUUAUGUUGAUACAGCUUUUGUCAGUGGUCCAGUAUUGGUUAUGAUAUUGAAGAAGGAAAAUGCGGUUGCUGAUUGGCGUACUCUAAUUGGACCAACUGAUGCACAAAAAGCUAAGAUUACUCACCCUCACAGCAUCAGAGCAAUGUGUGGGUUGGAUUCAGAAAAGAAUUGUGUUCAUGGUUCAGACUCUCUUGAAUCGGCUCAAAGGGAAAUUUCCUUUUUCUUUGGGGAGAUAUCCUCAGGUGAUGCUGUUGGAGAGCAUGACGAACUCUGAAUGGUAAGAAUUCAGAGCAGAAUUA